GAGGAUGCGAGCGUUAUCCGGAUUUAUUGGGUUUAAAGGGUGCGUAGGCGGUCCGGUAAGUCAGCGGUAAAAUAGCGGGGCUCAACCCCGUCGAGCCGUUGAAACUGCCGGACUCGAGAGAGAGAGAAGUAGGCGGAAUGCGCAGUGUAGCGGUGAAAUGCUUAGAUAUUGCGCAGAACUCCGAUUGCGAAGGCAGCCUACCGGCUCUUGUCUGACGCUGAGGCACGAAAGCGUGGGUAUCGAG
Molecule: ribosomal RNA, 244 nt
Filed under: uncultured bacterium
Lineage: Bacteria
Description: partial 16S ribosomal RNA
Rfam family: Bacterial small subunit ribosomal RNA
Source: RNAcentral